This 76-nucleotide transfer RNA is filed under the name Acholeplasmataceae bacterium. RNAcentral's name for it is "tRNA-Ala". It matches the Rfam family "tRNA". From Rfam's summary of the family: Transfer RNA (tRNA) molecules are approximately 80 nucleotides in length. Their secondary structure includes four short double-helical elements and three loops (D, anti-codon, and T loops). RNAcentral also lists the same sequence under 1 other name. Lineage: Bacteria; Bacillati; Mycoplasmatota; Mollicutes; Acholeplasmatales; Acholeplasmataceae. The record is from RNAcentral.
GGGAUCAUAGCUCAGCUGGAAGAGCGCAUGACUGGCAGUCAUGAGGUCAAGGGUUCGAGCCCCUUUGGUUCCACCA